RNAcentral lists this long non-coding RNA (2467 nucleotides) under Triticum aestivum (bread wheat). RNAcentral describes it as "long non-coding RNA (TAES_LNC001888)". Lineage: Eukaryota; Viridiplantae; Streptophyta; Magnoliopsida; Poales; Poaceae. The record is from RNAcentral.
GCUGCAAGUGUGUAGUACUCCAUUGGACAGUCUCUCGCUGAUUGUCUGGGCAGCAACAACGGGAGGGAAAUGGCUUCAGGAAGGUAGCUCGAUAGGAGCUGCAUGUUUUUCCUAGUAUUGGAUUUUGUAGUACUAUAUCAAAUACAGAAGCCCAAAGGUUAUUCUGUAUACUGUAUAUCAUUUGGGCGAAAUUCAAAGAGUAAAACACGUCGUUAGUCUAUGAAUGAACUUGCCAUCCAUGAGCUCGUUCUUAUGCGAGCCUCGCUAUUAAGAUGGGAGCUACCUGAUCCUUGAUGCGCUCGGUGGAUUGUUUGAUAUUGAUUGGUAGGGUUCUUGUGUUGUUUAUAUCCUGAGGGCUCUUGAUUGGUUUGGUUGUCUGUGGAGUCGAAGUUGAUUGCUCUGAAAGAAGUGAUGAUGAUAAUAGCCAAGUCGGCUAGGGUGCCCUUCCUUGCGGGCGUAUUGUAGUGGUGUUCGUCUGGUUUUUGGUUUUUGGCAAAUAAAUCAGGCAAUCUUUACCUUUUUCUUAAUGAAUUGAGUUCUAAUAAGGUAUCAACUUUUUAAAAAUUAUCACAUUGCCUGCAAAAUGUGGUGGCCUGUUCACUAACUUGUAAAAUUGUGUGUGUGAUAUGAAAAUAUACCCUCGUGGACGAAAGAAAACGGGUACCCUCAUAGUUGCAUUACUCAGCAGGAUCGUCUCGGUCAAAAUUACAGAUGUUUAAAAGUUCAUCAGGACAAGAACCUAUCCGCACAUCGUAAGUGGUUCAGUUCGUCCAUAACUAAUCGUUAAAUCACUAGCUUUAUUCUGGAUACGAUUAACAUGAGCAAUUCCAACUAAGCGUUGAUCAUGAAACAUGGAGUUUAUUUCAUGAAUAAGAAACCCAAACCGGGAACAAUCAUCAUUGCGCUCAGAAACCAUCUUCGCCGUCUCUAGACAGUCCGAUUCCAAUGUCUAUAGUGAUCUAACAAUAAUCCUACACCUUCAAAGAAUGUACAAACGUUUUACUUAACUUUUCAAACAAUUCUCUCCCCCCUCUCGCCUGAAUUCAACUGGGGUGGCUUCCUUCAUCCCAUAAUUACAUGUUAUUCUAUCUAAAAUCAUAGAUUAAUGAAAUGAGGCGAAAAGCCUCCGCUCUACAAAGAAGAAUUAUGUAGAGCAUGGCAUAAAACGGAAUAGACUUUGUGAUGCUUGAAAUGAGGCGAAAAGCCUCUCGCUGACUGUCUGGGUGGUAGCCACACAUCAGGAAGGAAAUGGCUUCAUGAAGGCAGCUCGAUAGAAGCUGCAUGUUUUUUCUAGUAUUGGAUCUUAUACUAUCAGAUUCAGAAGACCAAAGGGUAUUCUGUAUUCUACUCCCUGCGUCCGAAAAAGCUUGUCCCUCAAAUGCUAGAUACACCCAUUUGAGGGACAAACUUUUUUGGAUGGAGAGAGUAUACCAAUUGAGCGAAAUUCAAAGAGUAAAAUGCGUCGUUAGUCUAUGAACUUGCCAUUGAUGUGCUCAUUCUCAUGCGAGCCCCUUUAUUAAGAUCAGAGCUAUUUAUCCUUGAUGCUUUCGGUCGAUUGUUUGACAUUGGUUGUGAGGGUUCUCUUGUGUUGUUUAUCCUCAGGGUUCUUGAUUGGUUGUCCGAAGCGGAGUCGAAGUCGCUUACUUUGAAAGAAGUGAUUACUAUGAUACUUUAUUGGCUACCUUAUGAUGUGUAUGGAUCUUGUAGAUAGCCAUGUCGGCCAAGGUACCCUUUCUAGUAAGCGUGUUGUAAUGGUGAUUGUCUGGUUUUCACAAAUUAACCAGGCAAUGAUAUCUAUAUUUCUAUUUUUUCUGCAUGUAAAAUGUGGCGGCCUGGCCACUAGCUUGUAAGAUUGUGUGUGCAAGAUGUAAACAUACCCUCAUGGACCCAAAAAACCUGGUCUCAUGUUCAUGCGACUCACAGGGUGCUCAUUUGGCCACAACAGGACUUAUUUGACGAUGUGUGGGUAUAUAGUUGGUAGUAUCUCAUUGGUGCCGGCAUUUGUAGCAGUCUUGCCCGUCCCAGGUGAGGGUGCACACACUACAACCCACGGCGAAGCUCCAUGGGACAUGGGAGGUCUUGGGCACGCCCUCGCCACGAAUGAUGGGAGCGUGGCGGCGGGCAUGGGCAGGGCCCCUCGAGCCUGCCUGGUCUUUGCUUGAUCGAUCUUCCUCGGUUCUGCCUGGUAGGCCGGUUCUUUUGGCCGCGACGGCCACUAGCUGUACUGUGCUGCAAGUGUGUAGUACUCCAUUGGACAGUCUCUCGCUGAUUGUCUGGGCAGCAACAAUGGGAGGGAAAUGGCUUCAGGAAGGUAGCUCGAUAGGAGCUGCAUGUUUUUUCUAGUAUUGGAUUUUGUAGUACUAUAUCAGAUACAGAAGCCCAAAGGUUAUUCUGUAUACUGUAUAUCAUUUGGGCGAAAUUCAAAGAGUAAAACACGUCGUUAGUCUAUGAAUGAACUUGCCAUCCA